RNAcentral lists this ribosomal RNA (375 nucleotides) under uncultured bacterium. RNAcentral's name for it is "bacterial SSU rRNA". It matches the Rfam family "Bacterial small subunit ribosomal RNA", at positions 29 to 419 of the family's 1533-position model. The record is from RNAcentral.
AAUGAACGUUGGCGGCGUGGAUUAGGCAUGCAAGUCGCGCGACAAGGAACCUUCGGGUUCUGGAGGAGCGGCAAACGGGGUAGUAAGGCAUCGGAACGUACCCUCUUGUUGGGAAUAGCCGCGGGAAACUGCGAGUAAUGCCCAAUAAUCCCUACGGGGCAAAGGGUCCGCCGCAGGAGGAGCGGCCGAUGUGAUACCAGCUAGUUGGUGAGGUAAUGGCUCACCAAGGGCUUAGACGUCUAGGGGGUNUGAGAGCAUGGCCCCCACACUGGGACUGAGAUACUGCCCAGACACCUACGGGUGGCUGCAGUCGAGAAUCUUCGGCAAUGGGCGCAAGCCUGACCGAGCAACGCCGCGUGCGGGAUGAAGGCCCUU